GAAUGCACCGCGGCCGCAGCUUGCUUAUGGACAGCGCUAACAGAGAUCACAGUGGGACCACAGAAGGAACCCAGGCCCUCAUCAACUGGCGUAUUCCCAAUGAGGGCCUAUUUACAGGCAGGAGGAACUCCUCCAAAACCGAAUGGCAGACAAGAAGGUAAGAGAUCUUAAUGGCAACUGGCGGGCGAUAGAGCGUCAGGGAGGUGAUUGGGUCCAGGAGGCA
Molecule: long non-coding RNA, 223 nt
Organism: Fundulus heteroclitus (mummichog)
Lineage: Eukaryota; Metazoa; Chordata; Actinopteri; Cyprinodontiformes; Fundulidae
Exons: 3
Source: RefSeq, a predicted model, not a curated record